Molecule: unclassified non-coding RNA, 335 nt
Filed under: soil metagenome
Description: partial contains 5.8S ribosomal RNA, internal transcribed spacer 2, and large subunit ribosomal RNA
Rfam family: 5.8S ribosomal RNA (bases 1-120)
Source: RNAcentral
GAUGAAGAACGUAGCGAAAUGCGAUAAGUAAUGUGAAUUGCAGAAUUCAGUGAAUCAUCGAAUCUUUGAACGCACAUUGCACCCGCCAGUAUUCUGGCGGGCAUGCCUGUUCGAGCGUCAUUUCAACCAUCAAGCCCCCGGCUUGUGUUGGGGACCUGCGGCUGCCGCAGGCCCUGAAAACCAGUGGCGGGCUCGCUAGUCACUCCGAGCGUAGUAAUACAUCUCGCUCAGGGCGUGCUGCGGGUUCCGGCCGUUAAAAGCCUUAUUUUACCCAAGGUUGACCUCGGAUCAGGUAGGAAGACCCGCUGAACUUAAGCAUAUCAAUAAGCGGAGGA